This 501-nucleotide ribosomal RNA is filed under the name uncultured bacterium. RNAcentral describes it as "partial 16S ribosomal RNA". It matches the Rfam family "Bacterial small subunit ribosomal RNA", at positions 29 to 523 of the family's 1533-position model. The record is from RNAcentral.
AUUGAACGCUGGCGGCAUGCCUUACACAUGCAAGUCGAACGGCAGCACGGGUGCUUGCACCUGGUGGCGAGUGGCGAACGGGUGAGUAAUACAUCGGAACGUACCUUAUCGUGGGGGAUAACGCAGCGAAAGCUGUGCUAAUACCGCAUACGCCCUGAGGGGGAAAGCGGGGGAUCGAAAGGCCUCGCGCGAUUAGAGCGGCCGAUGCCUGAUUAGCUUGUUGGUGGGGUAAAAGCCCACCAAGGCGACGAUCAGUAGCUGGUCUGAGAGGACGAUCAGCCACACGGGGACUGAGACACGGCCCAGAACCCUACGGGGGGCAGAAGUGGGGAAUUUUGGACAAUGGGGGCAACCCUGAUCCAGCAAUGCCGCGUGAGUGAAGAGGGCCUUCGGGUUGUAAAGCUCUUUUGUCAGGGAAGAAACACCGGCUCUAACACAGUCCGGGAAUGACGGUACCUGAAGAAUAAGCACCGGCUAACCACGUGCCAGCAGCCGCCGUAA